Prionailurus viverrinus (fishing cat) is the source of this 655-nucleotide long non-coding RNA. RefSeq lists it as uncharacterized. NCBI's taxonomy places the organism in Eukaryota, Metazoa, Chordata, Mammalia, Carnivora, Felidae. The transcript has 3 exons. The record is from RefSeq and is a predicted model, not a curated record.
UCGUGACCUGGCUGAAGUCGGACACUUAACCAACUGCGCCACCCAGGCGCCCCUGCUUUUAGUUUUAAAUUUACCUUUUGAAAAAGCAUAAUUCUAUGUUACAAAAUAACUUAUUGUGCUUCACGUUAUCUUUGUCCUCAGGCCUUUGCUUAAGUAAACCUAGUCUUCUCAAGAGCUGAGUUUUGCUCAUAAAAUCUGGCUACAACUCUCCAAACGAACAUUUCCAACUUUUCCCCCUACCCUUAUAACUUGGAAUCACUGAGAAAUAAAACUGCCCUUGGCACAAAGCCACAUCAGCUAAGAAAUGUUUCUUACUAAAUACCCAACUGCUUGUACCAUAUAGGCCUAACUUGGGUAACCCACCUGUAUCACUGCCUCCUGAAAUAAGACACAAACCUUUAACUGAACUAACCUAUUCUCAGGACGAAGAGACUGGUUCAGUGAGAUAUGGAGCAUCCAUCAACUCAGGACAGGUUUAAACCUACUUAUACCAUAUGGCCUCGAACAAUUUAAAUAGAACUAUCAUUCCAUUUGUAACUAAGUGGAUGGAACUAGAGGGUACUAUGCUAAGUGAAAUUAGUCAGAGAAAGACAAAAAUCAUAUGACUUCACUCAUAUGAGGACUUUAAGAUACAAAACAGAUGAACAUAAGAGAA